RNAcentral lists this ribosomal RNA (483 nucleotides) under uncultured bacterium. RNAcentral describes it as "bacterial SSU rRNA". It matches the Rfam family "Bacterial small subunit ribosomal RNA", at positions 328 to 802 of the family's 1533-position model. The record is from RNAcentral.
AUGAAACACUCCUACGGGAGGCAGCAGUAGGGAAUCUUCUGCAAUGGGCGAAAGCCUGACGGAGCAACGCCGCGUGAGUGAUGAAGGUCUUCGGAUCGUAAAACUCUGUUAUCAGGGAAGAACAAAUGUGUAAGUAACUGUGCACAUCUUGACGGUACCUGAUCAGAAAGCCACGGCUAACUACGUGCCAGCAGCCGCGGUAAUACGUAGGUGGCAAGCGUUAUCCGGAAUUAUUGGGCGUAAAGCGCGUGUAGGCGGUUUUUUAAGUCUGAUGUGAAAGCCCACGGCUCAACCGUGGAGGGUCAUUGGAAGCUGGAAAACUUGAGUGCAGAAGAGGAAAGUGGAAUUCCAUGUGUAGCGGUGAAAUGCGCAGAGAUAUGGAGGAACACCAGUGGCGAAGGCGACUUUCUGGUCUGUAACUGACGCUGAUGUGCGAAAGCGUGGGGAUCAAACGGGAUUAGAAACCCUUGUAGUCCGAAGUUC